AUACGGAGGAUGCAAGCGUUAUCCGGAUUUAUUGGGUUUAAAGGGUGCGUAGGCGGAUGAUUAAGCGUGAGGUGAAAUGCCACUGCUCAACCGUGGAACUGCCUCGCGAACUGGUUGUCUUGAAUGCUCCUGCCGUGGGAGGAAUGUGUGGUGUAGCGGUGAAAUGCAUAGAGAUCACACAGAACACCGAUUGCGAAGGCAUCUCACGAAGGGGCUAUUGACGCUGAGGCACGAAAGCGUGGGGAUCAAACAGGAUUAGAUCCCCUGGUAGUCCACGCAGUAAACGAUGAUGGCUAAACGCUGGUUUAUUCGGAUCAGUGGCCAAGCGAAAGCGAAAAGCCAUCCACCUGGGGAGUACGACCGCAAGGUUGAAACUCAAAGGAAUUGACGGGG
RNAcentral lists this ribosomal RNA (393 nucleotides) under uncultured bacterium. RNAcentral's name for it is "partial 16S ribosomal RNA". It matches the Rfam family "Bacterial small subunit ribosomal RNA", at positions 523 to 918 of the family's 1533-position model. The record is from RNAcentral.